Molecule: long non-coding RNA, 703 nt
Filed under: Coturnix japonica (Japanese quail)
Lineage: Eukaryota; Metazoa; Chordata; Aves; Galliformes; Phasianidae
Description: lncRNA (ENSCJPG00005011711.1)
Source: RNAcentral
GCAGUGAAAGAAGAGGGGCAGGGUCAGAGCCUGGAAGAUUCUGUUAGGCCAUGCCCACAUUGUUUGCAGUUCACUCAACUGUUUUUGACACGUUGUUUUUGUAAAUAAUGAUGCCAAGGGAAACAUUUGUGAGGGAAAGAGAUGAAAGAGGUGCUAAAGAUGUUUCAGAGAUGUAUGACAAACAGUGCUCACACCGUGCUCUCUUGUCUUCUACAUAAGGAGUAAUAUUCCAGGACUUUGAAGAUCCAUGGAAAGUCAGUAGGAAGUCUUGCCUCUUGUUUGCCACUGCUGUCACUCCACUACCAUUCACCUGAAAAAUGUUACUACUCUAGUGAUUUACAAGACAGGUAAAAUGUGGAUUUAUUGUGUGCAUUGUAGCUCUGCUGUAAUCAUAGUUCUCUAGUAAAAGUGUGAGAUUACUUUGAUGCAUCACAGGACAACAUGACAGGCAAUAAUUUAUGUCAAAUGGCAUUAGAUGUAAGUGGUCAAAGGCAAAAUGUUGUGUCUGCUCUGUGUUUUGCUGUUUAGUUAGUACAUCCUAAGCAGGAUAUGCAAAUGUUUUUGCACACAUUUACAAAGCUAGAAAUAAGAUGGGGGAUUGGGAGUAGUCAUAUGACUUAGACCGGUGAGUAAAGGACUAAGAGGCAUCACUUGCUUCCAUAUCCCCUUAAAUAAAUCACAUGCUGCAGUAUGCCGACGAGCA